CCUACGGGAGGCAGCAGUGAGGAAUAUUGGUCAAUGGCCGGAAGGCUGAACCAGCCAUGCCGCGUGAAGGUCAGUGCCCUAUGGGCGUUAAACUUCUUUUGUGCGGGAGCAAUAAUGGUCACGUGUGGCCAGACGAGAGUACCGUACGAAUAAGCAUCGGCUAACUCCGUGCCAGCAGCCGCGGUAAUACGGGGGAUGCAAGCGUUAUCCGGAUUUAUUGGGUUUAAAGGGUGCGUAGGCUGUGAGGUAAGUCAGCGGUGAAAUGCCCCCGCUCAACGGGGUGAAGUGCCAUUGAUACUGCCUUGCUGGAAUGCGGAUGCCGUGGGAGGAAUGUGUGGUGUAGCGGUGACAUGCAUAGAUAUCACACAGAACACCGAUUGCGAAGGCAUCUCACGAAUCCGCGAUUGACGCUGAUGCACGAAAGCGUGGGUAUCAAACAGGAUUAGAUACCCUUGUAGUC
RNAcentral lists this ribosomal RNA (460 nucleotides) under uncultured bacterium. RNAcentral describes it as "partial 16S ribosomal RNA". It matches the Rfam family "Bacterial small subunit ribosomal RNA", at positions 338 to 795 of the family's 1533-position model. The record is from RNAcentral.